AUGUCAUGAUGAGCUUCCCACUUCAUGGUCCGUGUUUUUGAUCUUUGUGAUAUUUAACGAAGUUCUGAGCUG
Molecule: small nucleolar RNA, 72 nt
Organism: Oryzias javanicus (javanese ricefish)
Lineage: Eukaryota; Metazoa; Chordata; Actinopteri; Beloniformes; Adrianichthyidae
Gene: SNORD18
Rfam family: Small nucleolar RNA SNORD18
About the family: U18 is a member of the C/D class of snoRNA which contain the C (UGAUGA) and D (CUGA) box motifs. It is encoded in introns of ribosomal protein L1 in Xenopus and human, and in introns of elongation factor 1 beta in yeast.
Source: Ensembl